CUACGUGCCAGCAGCCGCGGUAAUACGUAGGUCCCGAGCGUUAUCCGGAUUUAUUGGGCGUAAAGCGAGCGCAGGCGGUUAGAUAAGUCUGAAGUUAAAGGCUGUGGCUUAACCAUAGUACGCUUUGGAAACUGUUUAACUUGAGUGCAGAAGGGGAGAGUGGAAUUCCAUGUGUAGCGGUGAAAUGCGUAGAUAUAUGGAGGAACACCGGUGGCGAAAGCGGCUCUCUGGUCUGUAACUGACGCUGAGGCUCGAAAGCGUGGGGAGCAAACAGGAUUAGAUACCCUGGUAGUCCACGCCGUAAACGAUGAGUGCUAGGUGUUGGGUCCUUUCCGGGACUCAGUGCCGCAGCUAACGCAUUAAGCACUCCGCCUGGGGAGUACGACCGCAAGGUUGAAACUCAAAGGAAUUGACGGGGGCCCGCACAAGCGGUGGAGUAUGUGGUUUAAUUCGACGCAACGCGAAGAACCUUACCAGGUCUUGACAUUGAKGACAGAACUAGAGAUAG
This 508-nucleotide ribosomal RNA is filed under the name uncultured bacterium. RNAcentral's name for it is "bacterial SSU rRNA". It matches the Rfam family "Bacterial small subunit ribosomal RNA", at positions 501 to 1009 of the family's 1533-position model. The record is from RNAcentral.